AAACCGACACAGGUAGUCAAGAUGAGAAUUCUAAGGUGAGCGAGCGAACUCUCGUUAAGGAACUCGGCAAAAUGACCCCGUAACUUCGGGAGAAGGGGUGCUCUUUAGGGUUAACGCCCAGAAGAGCCGCAGUGAAUAGGCCCAAGCGACUGUUUAUCAAAAACACAGGUCUCUGCUAAACCGUAAGGUGAUGUAUAGGGGCUGACGCCUGCCCGGUGCUGGAAGGUUAAGAGGAGUGGUUAGCUUCUGCGAAGCUACGAAUCGAAGCCCCAGUAAACGGCGGCCGUAACUAUAACGGUCCUAAGGUAGCGAAAUUCCUUGUCGGGUAAGUUCCGACCCGCACGAAAGGCGUAACGAUUUGGGCACUGUCUCAACGAGAGACUCGGUGAAAUCAUAGUACCUGUGAAGAUGCAGGUUACCCGCGACAGGACGGAAAGACCCCGUGGAGCUUUACUGUAGCCUGAUAUUGAAAUUCGGCACAGCUUGUACAGGAUAGGUAGGAGCCUUUGAAACGUGAGCGCUAGCUUACGUGGAGGCGCUGGUGGGAUACUACCCUAGCUGUGUUGGCUUUCUAACCCGCACCACUUAUCGUGGUGGGAGACAGUGUCAAGCGGGCAGUUUGACUGGGGCGGUCGCCUCCUAAAAGGUAACGGAGGCGCUCAAAGGUUCCCUCAGAAUGGUUGGAAAUCAUUCAUAGAGUGUAAAGGCAUAAGGGAGCUUGACUGCGAGACCUACAAGUCGAGCAGGGUCGAAAGACGGACUUAGUGAUCCGGUGGUUCCGCAUGGAAGGGCCAUCGCUCAACGGAUAAAAGCUACCCCGGGGAUAACAGGCUUAUCUCCCCCAAGAGUUCACAUCGACGGGGAGGUUUGGCACCUCGAUGUCGGCUCAUCGCAUCCUGGGGCUGUAGUCGGUCCCAAGGGUUGGGCUGUUCGCCCAUUAAAGCGGUACGCGAGCUGGGUUCAGAACGUCGUGAGACAGUUCGGUCCCUAUCCGUCGUGGGCGUAGGAAAUUUGAGAGGAGCUGUCCUUAGUACGAGAGGACCGGGAUGGACAUACCUCUGGUGUACCAGUUGUCGUGCCAACGGCAUAGCUGGGUAGCUAUGUGUGGACGGGAUAAGUGCUGAAAGCAUCUAAGCAUGAAGCCCCCCUCAAGAUGAGAUUUCCCAACUUCGGUUAUAAGAUCCCUCAAAGAUGAUGAGGUUAAUAGGUUCGAGGUGGAAGCAUGGUGACAUGUGGAGCUGACGAAUACUAAUCGAUCGAAGACUUAAUCAA
Molecule: ribosomal RNA, 1272 nt
Filed under: Staphylococcus aureus DAR5893
Lineage: Bacteria; Bacillati; Bacillota; Bacilli; Caryophanales; Staphylococcaceae
Description: bacterial LSU rRNA
Rfam family: Bacterial large subunit ribosomal RNA
Source: RNAcentral